CUAGCGGCAGGCUUAACACAUGCAAGUCGAGGGGUAUAGUUCUUCGGAGCUAGAGACCGGCGCACGGGUGCGUAACGCGUAUGCAAUCUACCUUUCACAGAGGGAUAGCCCAGAGAAAUUUGGAUUAAUACCUCAUAGUAUUAUAGAGUGGCAUCACUUUAUAAUUAAAGUCACAACGGUGAAAGAUGAGCAUGCGUCCCAUUAGCUAGUUGGUAAGGUAACGGCUUACCAAGGCUACGAUGGGUAGGGGUCCUGAGAGGGAGAUCCCCCACACUGGUACUGAGACACGGACCAGACUCCUACGGGAGGCAGCAGUGAGGAAUAUUGGACAAUGGGCGCAAGCCUGAUCCAGCCAUGCCGCGUGCAGGAUGACGGUCCUAUGGAUUGUAAACUGCUUUUAUACAGGAAGAAACACCUCUACGUGUAGAGACUUGACGGUACUGUAAGAAUAAGGAUCGGCUAACUCCGUGCCAGCAGCCGCGGUAAUACGGAGGAUCCAAGCGUUAUCCGGAAUCAUUGGGUUUAAAGGGUCCGUAGGCGGUUUAGUAAGUCAGUGGUGAAAGCCCAUCGCUCAACGGUGGAACGGCCAUUGAUACUGCUAGACUUGAAUUAUUAGGAAGUAACUAGAAUAUGUAGUGUAGCGGUGAAAUGCUUAGAGAUUACAUGGAAUACCAAUUGCGAAGGCAGGUUACUACUAAUUGAUUGACGCUGAUGGACGAAAGCGUGGGUAGCGAACAGGAUUAGAUACCCUGGUAGUCCACGCCGUAAACGAUGGAUACUAGCUGUUGGGAGCAAUCUCAGUGGCUAAGCGAAAGU
This 816-nucleotide ribosomal RNA is filed under the name uncultured Flavobacterium sp. RNAcentral describes it as "bacterial SSU rRNA". It matches the Rfam family "Bacterial small subunit ribosomal RNA", at positions 36 to 858 of the family's 1533-position model. Lineage: Bacteria; Pseudomonadati; Bacteroidota; Flavobacteriia; Flavobacteriales; Flavobacteriaceae. The record is from RNAcentral.